ACUUGUUGAUGUGGGCAUUUGUGAAUAAGGUCCCUAAAGCGCUCCUAUGUCUCAAAAAAUUGUUCCCCAUCUAAUUGGGAGAAACUAGUGACUGCCUUCCUAAGCU
This is a small nucleolar RNA of Malania oleifera, 106 nucleotides long. The record is from RefSeq and is a predicted model, not a curated record. NCBI's taxonomy places the organism in Eukaryota, Viridiplantae, Streptophyta, Magnoliopsida, Santalales, Ximeniaceae.